This 828-nucleotide ribosomal RNA is filed under the name uncultured Oscillospiraceae bacterium. RNAcentral's name for it is "bacterial SSU rRNA". It matches the Rfam family "Bacterial small subunit ribosomal RNA", at positions 74 to 917 of the family's 1533-position model. Lineage: Bacteria; Bacillati; Bacillota; Clostridia; Eubacteriales; Oscillospiraceae. The record is from RNAcentral.
GAGAGCUUGCUUUCUCGAGCGAGUGGCGAACGGGUGAGUAACGCGUGAGGAACCUGCCUCAAAGAGGGGGACAACAGUUGGAAACGACUGCUAAUACCGCAUAAGCCCACAGGUCGGCAUCGACCAGAGGGAAAAGGAGCAAUCCGCUUUGAGAUGGCCUCGCGUCCGAUUAGCUAGUUGGUGAGGUAAUGGCCCACCAAGGCAACGAUCGGUAGCCGGACUGAGAGGUUGAACGGCCACAUUGGGACUGAGACACGGCCCAGACUCCUACGGGAGGCAGCAGUGGGGAAUAUUGCACAAUGGGGGAAACCCUGAUGCAGCGACGCCGCGUGGAGGAAGAAGGUCUUCGGAUUGUAAACUCCUGUUGUUGAGGAAGAUAAUGACGGUACUCAACAAGGAAGUGACGGCUAACUACGUGCCAGCAGCCGCGGUAAAACGUAGGUCACAAGCGUUGUCCGGAAUUACUGGGUGUAAAGGGAGCGCAGGCGGGAAGACAAGUUGGAAGUGAAAUCUAUGGGCUCAACCCAUAAACGGCUUUCAAAACUGUUUUUCUUGAGUAGUGCAGAGGUAGGCGGAAUUCCCGGUGUAGCGGUGGAAUGCGUAGAUAUCGGGAGGAACACCAGUGGCGAAGGCGGCCUACUGGGCACCAACUGACGCUGAGGCUCGAAAGUGUGGGUAGCAAACAGGAUUAGAUACCCUGGUAGUCCACACCGUAAACGAUGAUUACUAGGUGUUGGAGGAUUGACCCCUUCAGUGCCGCAGUUAACACAAUAAGUAAUCCACCUGGGGAGUACGACCGCAAGGUUGAAACUCAAAGGAAUUGACGGG